AAAUUGAAGAGUUUGAUCAUGGCUCAGAUUGAACGCUGGCGGCAGGCCUAACACAUGCAAGUCGAGCGGUAGCACAGAGAGCUUGCUCUCGGGUGACGAGCGGCGGACGGGUGAGUAAUGUCUGGGAAACUGCCUGAUGGAGGGGGAUAACUACUGGAAACGGUAGCUAAUACCGCAUAAUGUCGCAAGACCAAAGUGGGGGACCUUCGGGCCUCAUGCCAUCAGAUGUGCCCAGAUGGGAUUAGCUAGUAGGUGGGGUAAUGGCUCACCUAGGCGACGAUCCCUAGCUGGUCUGAGAGGAUGACCAGCCACACUGGAACUGAGACACGGUCCAGACUCCUACGGGAGGCAGCAGUGGGGAAUAUUGCACAAUGGGCGCAAGCCUGAUGCAGCCAUGCCGCGUGUGUGAAGAAGGCCUUCGGGUUGUAAAGCACUUUCAGCGGGGAGGAAGGCGGUGAGGUUAAUAACCUCACCGAUUGACGUUACCCGCAGAAGAAGCACCGGCUAACUCCGUGCCAGCAGCCGCGGUAAUACGGAGGGUGCAAGCGUUAAUCGGAAUUACUGGGCGUAAAGCGCACGCAGGCGGUCUGUCAAGUCGGAUGUGAAAUCCCCGGGCUCAACCUGGGAACUGCAUUCGAAACUGGCAGGCUAGAGUCUUGUAGAGGGGGGUAGAAUUCCAGGUGUAGCGGUGAAAUGCGUAGAGAUCUGGAGGAAUACCGGUGGCGAAGGCGGCCCCCUGGACAAAGACUGACGCUCAGGUGCGAAAGCGUGGGGAGCAAACAGGAUUAGAUACCCUGGUAGUCCACGCCGUAAACGAUGUCGAUUUGGAGGUUGUGCCCUUGAGGCGUGGCUUCCGGAGCUAACGCGUUAAAUCGACCGCCUGGGGAGUACGGCCGCAAGGUUAAAACUCAAAUGAAUUGACGGGGGCCCGCACAAGCGGUGGAGCAUGUGGUUUAAUUCGAUGCAACGCGAAGAACCUUACCUGGUCUUGACAUCCACAGAACUUUCCAGAGAUGGAUUGGUGCCUUCGGGAACUGUGAGACAGGUGCUGCAUGGCUGUCGUCAGCUCGUGUUGUGAAAUGUUGGGUUAAGUCCCGCAACGAGCGCAACCCUUAUCCUUUGUUGCCAGCGGUUAGGCCGGGAACUCAAAGGAGACUGCCAGUGAUAAACUGGAGGAAGGUGGGGAUGACGUCAAGUCAUCAUGGCCCUUACGACCAGGGCUACACACGUGCUACAAUGGCAUAUACAAAGAGAAGCGACCUCGCGAGAGCAAGCGGACCUCAUAAAGUAUGUCGUAGUCCGGAUUGGAGUCUGCAACUCGACUCCAUGAAGUCGGAAUCGCUAGUAAUCGUAGAUCAGAAUGCUACGGUGAAUACGUUCCCGGGCCUUGUACACACCGCCCGUCACACCAUGGGAGUGGGUUGCAAAAGAAGUAGGUAGCUUAACCUUCGGGAGGGCGCUUACCACUUUGUGAUUCAUGACUGGGGUGAAGUCGUAACAAGGUAACCGUAGGGGAACCUGCGGUUGGAUCACCUCCUUACCUUAAAGAA
Molecule: ribosomal RNA, 1550 nt
Filed under: Klebsiella pneumoniae
Lineage: Bacteria; Pseudomonadati; Pseudomonadota; Gammaproteobacteria; Enterobacterales; Enterobacteriaceae
Description: bacterial SSU rRNA
Rfam family: Bacterial small subunit ribosomal RNA
Source: RNAcentral